UAUAUUUUAAUGUAAGAUGCAUGGUAAUUUUUGAAAUUACAAGAUAUAGUUUAAUUCUAUAAAAUAUAAUUAA
Molecule: transfer RNA, 73 nt
Filed under: Nymphalis io geisha
Lineage: Eukaryota; Metazoa; Arthropoda; Insecta; Lepidoptera; Nymphalidae
Description: tRNA-Gln
Source: RNAcentral